CAGCAGUUCCCAUUUUCCUGCACAAAUUCUUCUAUUCCAAAAUCAGUCUCGUAGGCUAUAAAUAUCUUUUACCAGGAUUUUGGGAUAGGCUACAUGGAAGUCAUUGGCAUCAAACAGAAUGAGACCCAGUUAUAAUGUUCUUUGGCCACACAAGUGCUCACAUAUGGUGGACAAACAGUGCUUCUAAACGCAGAGCCUGUAUGGAGCUAAGGAUGCUAUCGCCUGGGCUCAGGGAGAAGUGACAGCCAUCAGAGCUGCUCUGAUCAUUAGGCUGUGUGUCACUGCGGGGUAACUAAGUCAGCAACAACCCAGACACAACGGCAACACGAUGCACUUUAUUAUCCUCUUACCUUUCCAUACAGACCGCCUGAAAAAUGUCACAAAGUGUGACUCAUCACAUCUGCAUGAAGUUAUGAGAAAAGUAAGCCUUGUUAACCUGCUGUUUGAAAACCAGAACACUUUUAUCAGUUCAUAUAAUUGCUAACCCCUUAUUCACUGUUCAACACUGAAGGGUUCUUUGCCUCCUAAGAUCCCACUAAUUGCUGACAGAUUUGAUUUCUCUGUGACAGCAGGAGUCCUGUUUCUGGCCUUUACAUCAAGUAAUUGCUUUAUUUUUCUCCCUCUGCUCUGAAAAACGGAAUUCCCUUCUCCCCUGCUUGAACCUCUGUAAUGACUUCUUUCUAUGUUAUUAAAUCCUUGCCAUUUAAAUCACAUUUAGAGAUGUUUUGAAUAACUGAUUCCAAUUACUAAGGCUCUUACUAAGGAGCAGCUGAAAACGCAAGUCAUUACUUGCCCACAGACAGGCAGCUACACCUUGCAGCAAAGUCUCUGGUGGACCAUAUUUUAUUUCUCCUCGGUAAGGUGCAAUUUAUACUCACAGGAGGCGGGUGUUCAACAAAUAUACAGCCGCUGGAGUUCUCAUGACUUGUCACUCGUGCAAAAUGGAGGCCUGGUUUUAUAUUUGUUUUAUAAAUAGUGCCAUUCCUUACAGAAAUCCUCCUGUCCUUCCUCGGAACAACAAGGAGAUGAGCACUGACCGCGGAAUGACCCACGCAAGGUUUCUAUCCAGGGAUCUAAUAAAAAAGCAUGGCAAGGGAAAAGGAAACAGGACUGCGGGUCGUGCAUUCCUUCCGAGAGGCACGAUCAGCCUCUGUUGUUCUUACAUUGUUUUUUACACAGGUCACGAUUCCUUGAAUCGACGGAGAACUUCCCAGCAAUAACAGCUUAGCUCAGUUAUUAAUCAUGCUUGUAGUCAUUAGCGCCUUUGUAGAAAAAAUAUGUGCCAGGAGAUGAUUAUUUGACAAAUUACUGCAGGGACUCAGCAUAAUAACUUUGCUGAUACAAUCAGCGUUGAGCCAUUAUAAAACAAAAACAACAAAAAAAAAAACAACCAUGUAUGAAGCAACUUCCAAACUGUUUAUGAAAUACACUAUAAAUGAGCGGGGACGGACUUUUAAAUAGUUUGCAUGCAGUUCUUCACAACCGCACGCUCGGUUCAUUCUCAUAUACAGGCACUACUGUGGCACAUGGAAGCAGCUAAUGAACGAAGAUAAUUCAUAAUAACUGAGGAAUGCGCAGCUGUCUCUAAUUCAAGGAGCGUGGAUGCUGCAGAUGAUGCUGGCUGGAGCUGUGCUGGGAAGGCUGCAGCCCGUGGGCAGCUUCCACUGGUGCAGGCUGAACCGGGGCACUGGAACCUGGACAAGAAACACAUAAUCACUUCUGUAUUCGUGCAUUAACUUUCUGACACUUCCUUCUGUCUAGCCCUGAUAAUGAGCCCUGGUUUUCUUUGACCAGCGGAGUAAAGCUACCACCAAGUGGAAUAAAAGGAAGUACGCCCAGCACUACACAAAGAAGUAAGCAGCAAUCACUGGCUUGCACAACCAUAGAAUCAUCAUAGAAUCAUAGAGUGGCUUGAGUUGGAUGGGACCUCAGGGAUCAUGAAGCUCCAACCGCCCUGCCACAUGCAAGUCCGCCAACCUCCAUAUCUAAUGUUAGACCAGGAUGCCCAGGGCCCCCUCCAGCCUGGUUGACGAGUUCCUCACUCUGGAUUGAUUCCACCAUUCCUGUGUCUGCAUCUUUCUGUAAAUUAAAUAAACCCUUUUCUCUCACUUUUUUCCCCCUCAUUCCACAUAAAAAUGCCUAAUUUUGUUUACUAGAAAGUUAAAUGGUUCUCCUCGUAAUUGAAAAGGCUGGAAAGAAAACAAAAAACACUGAGGGUUUGGUUUAAUACCUACUGUGCAGUCACAACAGCUUUUCAUGAUACAACUUAACAACAAGUUUCUUCAAGAAAGAGUUGGGAGAUUUCCUGAGGCAGGACUGCAGGGUCCAGCCUUCACCUAAGUCGCGCUGACAACAGAUUACUGCUACUGAAACAAAGUAAAGGGUCUUCAGGGCGAUUGUAAGUUUAGAGCCUUAGCAGGAGUGCGAAUGAGGCAGGUAAAAGUCAAAGCAAAAUUGCUGUUCCUGCUUAUCCAAGGGAAGCGUGGAGCUGUGUUAGCACACACGCAAAAAAAAAAACCCAACAAAAUAGCAAA
Molecule: long non-coding RNA, 2534 nt
Organism: Gallus gallus (chicken)
Lineage: Eukaryota; Metazoa; Chordata; Aves; Galliformes; Phasianidae
Source: Ensembl